RNAcentral lists this ribosomal RNA (400 nucleotides) under Desmodesmus spinosus. Its description in RNAcentral is "bacterial SSU rRNA". It matches the Rfam family "Bacterial small subunit ribosomal RNA", at positions 369 to 786 of the family's 1533-position model. The record is from RNAcentral. Lineage: Eukaryota; Viridiplantae; Chlorophyta; Chlorophyceae; Sphaeropleales; Scenedesmaceae.
CAAUGGGCGAAAGCCUGACGCAGCCAUGCCGCGUGGAUGAUGAAGGUCUUAGGAUUGUAAAAUCCUUUCACCGGGGACGAUAAUGACGGUACCCGGAGAAGAAGCCCCGGCUAACUUCGUGCCAGCAGCCGCGGUAAUACGAAGGGGGCUAGCGUUGCUCGGAAUUACUGGGCGUAAAGGGCGCGUAGGCGGACAUUUAAGUCGGGGGUGAAAUCCCAGGGCUCAACCCUGGAACUGCCUUCGAUACUGGAUGUCUUGAGUGCGGGAGAGGUGUGUGGAACUCCGAGUGUAGAGGUGAAAUUCGUAGAUAUUCGGAAGAACACCAGUGGCGAAGGCGACACACUGGCCCGUUACUGACGCUGAGGCGCGAAAGCGUGGGGAGCAAAAGGGAUUAGAUACC